CUCUCUCUCUCUCUCUCUCUGCUGCUGCAGCUGCUACAACCUGAUCUUCCAGUUCAUGGCUGCCGCUACCUCCACGAGUUGCACAGGCUUUUUCAAUUUCCGUUCAAAUUCCGACGAAGGCAGGGUCCGGCCUUCAUCGACCCAUGGCUCACCUGGGUGUGGAAAGCUUGAUGGGGUGGCUAUGUGGUUCAUCAAUGGUGUGGCAAGUGCAUUUUUUGCAUCCUUAGAGAGAUGUUCUUGCAUCCGUAUCGCCACCGAAGACGACGGCGAUGAGGCUAACGACGCACCCUUGAUUAUGAACGAUGGAAACUUGAGGCAUGACGGUGGCACCACCAGCAGCAGGAGAAGGACAGGGAAAGGCAAGAAACAGAGCACUGGAGCAUUUGAUGAGUACUAGCUAAUUUGGUUGGCCAAGCCAAAGUUGUUUUGGUAAGUUAAUUAUGGGGUUUUGGGAUGGUGUGAGAUUUGGUCUUUAAUCUUUUGGAAGAGGUUGCAAGUGGUAAUUAAACAAAAAGGGAGUUACAUGUUUGAUGGGUUUGAAUCUCUUAUGCAUAUGAUCAAAUGAAUUGAAUCAAUUUAAUAAAUAUUUUCAUAAAUUACUCAAAUGAAGUUUCGUUAUUUGCAGGCUUUUGGGUUUUUGAAUUGGUAAAAUUUAGGUCUAUAAUCUUUACAUUUUAGCUUUUGGAAGCUAGUUUGGUUUAUGGGUAUCUAAAAAGCUUUUUAGCCCAAUGCCAAUCAGCUAAAGACUGCUAGGAUUUGAAGAUUAAAGAUUAAUUCUAUAUUUCACAUGAUAGGUAAAAUGUUUAAUUUAGUCCUUG
This 818-nucleotide unclassified non-coding RNA is filed under the name Hevea brasiliensis (rubber tree). Lineage: Eukaryota; Viridiplantae; Streptophyta; Magnoliopsida; Malpighiales; Euphorbiaceae. The record is from RNAcentral.